AACGAACGCUGGCGGCAUGCCUAACACAUGCAAGUCGAACGAGACCUUCGGGUCUAGUGGCGCACGGGUGCGUAACGCGUGGGAACCUGCCCUUAGGUUCGGAAUAACUCCCCGAAAGGGGUGCUAAUACCGGAUAAUGUCUUCGGACCAAAGAUUUAUCGCCUUUGGAUGGGCCCGCGUUGGAUUAGCUAGUUGGUAGGGUAAAAGCCUACCAAGGCGACGAUCCAUGGCUGGUCUGGGAGGAUGAUCAGCCGCACUGGGACUGAGACACGGCCCAGACUCCGACGGGAGGGAGCAGUGGGGAGUAUUAUGCGAGGGGCGAUAACGUAGUCCAGCAGUGCGGGGUGUGAGGUGAAGGCCGUAGUAUUGUAAAGCUCUUUGUCCCGAGAUGAGAGUGACAGUAACGGGAGAAUAAGCUCCGGCUAACUCCGUG
RNAcentral lists this ribosomal RNA (433 nucleotides) under uncultured bacterium. RNAcentral describes it as "partial 16S ribosomal RNA". It matches the Rfam family "Bacterial small subunit ribosomal RNA", at positions 29 to 507 of the family's 1533-position model. The record is from RNAcentral.